CUAGAAAGUAAUGUAGGAGAAUGCAUUGAAUGCAGAUUGUCUGGUUGAUUGAAACACAUAGGGGGGAAAGUAGUCAACAGUGAGACAGCAGGAACAGUAACAACAUUUCUACUGAGAAAAGUGAAACAAACAACACGUGGUAACACACUGUGACAGCACUCUCGCCUAGCAAAGUCGGAUGAUCAGAAUUUGCCUUUUACAUGAAUAAAUAUGAACAUGUGAAAAUAAACGGAUUUAUACAAACCAAA
Molecule: long non-coding RNA, 248 nt
Organism: Sabethes cyaneus
Lineage: Eukaryota; Metazoa; Arthropoda; Insecta; Diptera; Culicidae
Exons: 2
Source: RefSeq, a predicted model, not a curated record